GUGGGGAAUAUUGGACAAUGGGCGCAAGCCUGAUCCAGCCAUGCCGCGUGAGUGAUGAAGGCCUUAGGGUUGUAAAGCUCUUUCAGUGGGGACGAUAAUGACGGUACCCACAGAAGAAGCCCCGGCUAACUUCGUGCCAGCAGCCGCGGUAAUACGAAGGGGGCUAGCGUUGUUCGGAUUUACUGGGCGUAAAGCGCACGUAGGCGGAUUGGUCAGUUAGAGGUGAAAUCCCGAAGCUCAACUUCGGAACUGCCUUUAAUACUGCCAGUCUCGAGUCCGGAAGAGGUGAGUGGAACUCCUAGUGUAGAGGUGGAAUUCGUAGAUAUUAGGAAGAACACCAGUGGCGAAGGCGGCUCACUGGUCCGGUACUGACGCUGAGGUGCGAAAGCGUGGGGAGCAAACAGGAUUAGAUACCCGGGUAGUCC
RNAcentral lists this ribosomal RNA (425 nucleotides) under uncultured bacterium. RNAcentral describes it as "partial 16S ribosomal RNA". It matches the Rfam family "Bacterial small subunit ribosomal RNA", at positions 354 to 796 of the family's 1533-position model. The record is from RNAcentral.